AUCCAGCUGACAAGUCGCAAACAGGACGAAAUACGCUUCCUGGAU
Molecule: non-coding RNA, 45 nt
Organism: Schistosoma mattheei
Lineage: Eukaryota; Metazoa; Platyhelminthes; Trematoda; Strigeidida; Schistosomatidae
Source: Rfam